UACGUAGGGGGCAAGCGUUGUCCGGAAUCAUUGGGCGUAAAGGGCUCGUAGGCGGUCCGGCAAGUCGAUCGUGAAAACUCAGGGCUCAACCCUGAGCUCGCGGUCGAAACUGCCGGACUUGAGGCAGGUAGGGGAGAGUGGAAUUCCUGGUGUAGCGGUGAAAUGCGCAGAUAUCAGGAGGAACACCAGUGGCGAAGGCGGCUCUCUGGGCCUGACCUGACGCUGAGGAGCGAAAGCGUGGGGAGCAAACAGG
Molecule: unclassified non-coding RNA, 253 nt
Filed under: uncultured Euzebyales bacterium
Lineage: Bacteria; Bacillati; Actinomycetota; Nitriliruptoria; Euzebyales
Description: contains 16S-23S intergenic spacer region
Rfam family: Bacterial small subunit ribosomal RNA
Source: RNAcentral